RNAcentral lists this ribosomal RNA (883 nucleotides) under Ceratobasidium pseudocornigerum. RNAcentral's name for it is "LSU rRNA". It matches the Rfam family "Eukaryotic large subunit ribosomal RNA", at positions 74 to 964 of the family's 3401-position model. The record is from RNAcentral. Lineage: Eukaryota; Fungi; Basidiomycota; Agaricomycetes; Cantharellales; Ceratobasidiaceae.
AUUCCCCUAGUAACGGCGAGUGAAGCGGGAAGAGCUCAAAUUUAAAAUCUGGCAGUGUAUUCUGUCCGAGUUGUAGUCUAGAGAAGCAUCAUCCGUGCUGGACCAUGUACAAGUCUCUUGGAACAGAGCGUCAUAGAGGGUGAGAAUCCCGUCCUUGACAUGGACUCCCAGCGCUUUGUGUUGUGCUCUCAACGAGUCGAGUUGUUUGGGAAUGCAGCUCAAAAUGGGUGGUAAAUUCCAUCUAAAGCUAAAUAUUGGCGAGAGACCGAUAGCGAACAAGUACCGUGAGGGAAAGAUGAAAAGCACUUUGGAGAGAGAGUUAAACAGUACGUGAAAUUGUUGAAAUGGAAACGCUUGAAGUCAGUCGCGUUCUCUGGGAUUCAGCCUUGCUUAUGCUUGGUGCAUUUCCUAGUCUACGGGCCAGCAUGGAUUUUGACCGUUGGAAAAGGGCUGGAGGAAUGUGGCACCUUCGGGUGUGUUAUAGCCUCUUGUCGCAUGCAUCGGUUGGGAUCGAGGACCUCAGUGCACGCUUCGGUUGUGCUUUGAUGCUGGCGUAAUGGCUUUAAACGACCCGUCUUGAAACACGGACCAAGGAGUCUAACAUGUCUGCGAGUGUUUGGGUGAAAAACUCGGACGCAUAAUGAAAGUGAUAGUUGGGAACCUCUCACGAGGGGCACCGACGCCCGGACCAGACCUUCUGUGACGGAUCCGAGGUAGAGCAUAUAUGUUGGGACCCGAAAGAUGGUGAACUAUGCCUGCAUAGGGUGAAGCCAGAGGAAACUCUGGUGGAGGCUCGUAGCGAUUCUGACGUGCAAAUCGAUCGUCAAAUGUGGGUAUAGGGGCGAAAGACUAAUCGAACCAUCUAGUAGCUGGUCCCUGCCGA